CCUACGGGUGGCAGCAGUGAGGAAUAUUGGUCAAUGGACGAGAGUCUGAACCAGCCAAGUAGCGUGAAGGAUGACUGCCCUAUGGGUUGUAAACUUCUUUUAUAUGGGAAUAAAAUGUUCCACGUGUGGGAUUUUGUAUGUACCAUAUGAAUAAGGAUCGGCUAACUCCGUGCCAGCAGCCGCGGUAAUACGGAGGAUGCGAGCGUUAUCCGGAUUUAUUGGGUUUAAAGGGUGCGCAGGCGGAAGAUCAAGUCAGCGGUAAAAUUGAGAGGCUCAACCUCUUCGAGCCGUUGAAACUGGUUUUCUUGAGUGAGUGAGAAGUAUGCGGAAUGCGUGGUGUAGCGGUGAAAUGCAUAGAUAUCACGCAGAACUCCGAUUGCGAAGGCAGCAUACCGGCGCUCAACUGACGCUCAUGCACGAAAGUGUGGGUAUCGAACAGGAUUAGAUACCCCAGUAGUC
RNAcentral lists this ribosomal RNA (459 nucleotides) under uncultured bacterium. Its description in RNAcentral is "partial 16S ribosomal RNA". It matches the Rfam family "Bacterial small subunit ribosomal RNA", at positions 338 to 795 of the family's 1533-position model. The record is from RNAcentral.